CUUCUACAGAACUGUCCCAAAGGGGAUCCUACUGACAGUUAUUCAGGAUGCUAACCCAGAAAGCAUCCCAGCCUGAAGGUGUGCAAUGCAGGCACGGAGACAUUAGCUAAGUAUUUUCCGGAUCACUCGUCCAGUACAUUUGUAUUCAGAUCUGACUUGAGAGUCUGCACCCUUCUGCAUUCCUGAUAUUUCUGCUUCUCCCAGAGAGGAACCCCGGUGAUUGCAUCCAGCCCAUCUGGCUUUUCCAAGAUCCUUAAUCACAGGAAGUCACUUUGCAAUAUAAGGUAACAUAUUCUGAAUGGUAACAUCUCCCGAAAAUUAGAGUGUGGAUAUAAUUGGUGGUCAGGGUCAUAAUUUUACCUAGUACAGC
Molecule: long non-coding RNA, 370 nt
Filed under: Heterocephalus glaber (naked mole-rat)
Lineage: Eukaryota; Metazoa; Chordata; Mammalia; Rodentia; Bathyergidae
Description: lncRNA (ENSHGLG00000044897.1)
Source: RNAcentral